ACUAAAUAGAUACCCAGGUAGUCCAUGCCGUAAACUAUGGAUACUAGCUGUUGGGGGUAUCGACCCCUCCAGUAGCGAAAGCUAAACGCGUUAAGUAUCCCGCCUGUGGAGUACGAUCGCAAGAUUAAAACAUAAAGGAAUUGACGGGGACCCGCACAAGCGGUGGAGCGUGUUCUUUAAAUUCGAUGCUAAACGAAGAACCUUACCAGGGCUUGACAUCCCUUGAAUUACUCCGAAAGGAGUGAGUGCUUUAUUGAGCAAGGUGACAGGUGAUGCAUGGCCGUCGUCAGCUCGUGUCGUGAGAUGUUUGGUUAAGUCCAUCAACGAGCGCAACCCUUAUACUUAGUUGUAUUUUUCUAGGUAGACUGCCCCGGUAACGGGGAGGAAGGGGGGUAGUGAUGUCAGGUCGAGU
RNAcentral lists this ribosomal RNA (412 nucleotides) under uncultured bacterium. Its description in RNAcentral is "bacterial SSU rRNA". It matches the Rfam family "Bacterial small subunit ribosomal RNA", at positions 772 to 1195 of the family's 1533-position model. The record is from RNAcentral.